Molecule: ribosomal RNA, 805 nt
Filed under: uncultured bacterium
Lineage: Bacteria
Description: bacterial SSU rRNA
Rfam family: Bacterial small subunit ribosomal RNA
Source: RNAcentral
AGAGUUUGAUCAUGGCUCAGGACGAACGCUGGCGGCGUGCCUAAUACAUGCAAGUCGAGCGAAUCUUUAGGAGCUUGCUCCUAUUGGUUAGCGGCGGACGGGUGAGUAACACGUGGGCAACCUACCUAUAAGACUGGGAUAACUUCGGGAAACCGUAGCUAAUACCGGAUAAUCCUUUUCCUCUCAUGAGGAAAAGCUGAAAGACGGUUUACGCUGUCACUUAUGGAUGGGCCCGCGGCGCAUUAGCUAGUUGGUGAGGUAACGGCUCACCAAGGCAACGAUGCGUAGCCGACCUGAGAGGGUGAUCGGCCACACUGGGACUGAGACACGGCCCAGACUCCUACGGGAGGCAGCAGUAGGGAAUCUUCCACAAUGGACGAAAGUCUGAUGGAGCAACGCCGCGUGAGCGAUGAAGGCCUUCGGGUCGUAAAGCUCUGUUGUUAGGGAAGAACAAGUACCGGAGUAACUGCCGGUACCAUGACGGUACCUAACCAGAAAGCCACGGCUAACUACGUGCCAGCAGCCGCGGUAAUACGUAGGUGGCAAGCGUUGUCCGGAAUUAUUGGGCGUAAAGCGCGCGCAGGCGGUCCUUUAAGUCUGAUGUGAAAGCCCACGGCUCAACCGUGGAGGGUCAUUGGAAACUGGGGGACUUGAGUGCAGAAGAGGAAAGCGGAAUUCCACGUGUAGCGGUGAAAUGCGUAGAGAUGUGGAGGAACACCAGUGGCGAAGGCGGCUUUCUGGACUGUAACUGACGCUGAGGCAUGAGAGCAUGGGGAGCAAACAGGAUUAGAUACCCUGGUAGUCC